GACUUUUCAUUUUUCUCUUAUGAAUGCCUUCAUAGGGUCUUGCAUUGCCUGGUAUGGAGUUGAAGAGACAAAGAGUGAAGCUGGAGCCAUCAUGAAUUGGAAAUAGUGUUUUAUUUCCACACAUCCCUAGGUCUCUAAAUGAAAAACAAAAACAGUUUUGAGGCAAUGUUUCACCCGUGACUGCUUGCUGAGACACCUAGUUCAGAAAUUCAUGAACAACCUCCUCUUGCCACCACAGCAUGUUGGACCAUCUUGAGCAUUUUCUACAUCUCUUCCUGCAUGAUUUCCUUUGUUAGAAAACAAAACCUUUUGCUUUCUUUCUUGAGACCCACGUUCCUGCCUUACUCAAAUACUUUAAUUGUCUUGCAUUUUUAGAAAGACUUUUUCUCAUCCCCCUAAAGCAUUUCAUUGCUGACAGAAAGGCUGACAAGGCAGCUGACACGGUGGCUAUUACUUUGAGCAGUUUCUAAACAAUAUCAUUUUGCUGCCCUUCUGCUUUCAGUGAAAUUAUAGGGUGCAUUCUUUUUUGUGGAACAAUGGAGCUCAGCUCCCACACCAGGGGUCCUGAACAAAUUCCAUACCAACCUCCUGAGCUUCAGAAUUAAUGCAAUUAUCACUGAAGAUGUCACUUCAGGCACUAGUAACAUCACUACAUUGGUUCAUCUUGCCAUAACAGAGGAAGAAGGAAUGGAGGAGUGAAGCUAUAAACACACACAAAUACACUUAUAUGUGGAUAUGUGUGUGUGUGUGUUCAUAUCUAUGUAUGUAUAAAAUAUCCUACUAAUUUGAAAUGCAUCCUGAGUAAAUAAGAGCAAUAUUUAUAGAAAUGCAUGGUGACAGAUCAGCUGUGAAUCUGAACUGGGGGCUGAUAAAUUCUCAUUACCUUCGUCUACCUGACAAAUGAAAUGACCUGCUAAACAGCUGUUGAAAAUUCAAUCAGAUACCUGCAAAUAGCAAGCAUCCCAUGUGACAUGUGGAGAAGGUUGGUGAACAUUCUUGGAUUGGAAUCACACAGAAUAAGGAAUAAAAGAGAAGUUUCCUCUAUCCCUUGCAUCUGAGAGGCUAUUUGAAACAAUGACAUUUUUUCAUUGUUGUCACCACUCUGUGCCAAUUCAAACCACUCUAAUUAUCUUUCCAUUUCUAGUCCACAGAGAAAAAAUCCUUGACUUUCCCUGAUCCAGAUAUUUCCAUUAAUCCUUCUCCCUAGACCCUACUUAAUGUAUAAGCUUAGUGUGAAUCUGCCUGCAGACCAUUUAUAUCAAUAUGGAAUAUAUAUGUCCAAAGUGGAGCUAUAUACAGUACAUUAUGCAAUAUGAAGAAAGUAUGAAAACUUCCUUUACUGUUUUUAUCCUACUUAUUUUACUCUAUACUUUUAACUGUUUAAUAUUUAUCAUGAAUUAGCACAACUAUAUAUAGUAGUAUUAUAAACUAUAUAAAAUUUAUAUUAUCUGUAAUAUAAUAUAAACAAUAUAUGAUAAACAAUUAUGUAUCAUAAUAUCUAAUAUUAUAAACAUUAUGAGUGAAAACUCAAUAUAUUAAAUGAUGGAAAUAUUCACUUCAAAAAAAUCAAAGAACACUAUUCUAGAGAAAGUCCUCUCAAAUUUUAAUAUGCACACAAACCAUCUGGGGAUUUUGUAAAAAGCAUAUUGAGAUUCAGUAGGUCUGAGAUGGGGUUAGACAAUUUGCAUUUCUAACAAACUCCCAGGUGAUGCUAUUUCUCCUGGUUCUUGGAUCACACUUAGAAUAGUAAGGCAUAAGUGUGAUUUGAUGGCCUGCUGAAAUUAUCCUCUUCCAAAAUAUUUCUCCCUCUGGGAAGGUAGAGAUACUUGGAAACUUUUUCUGUAUUAAAACUUCUCCUUAGAGGGUAGAAAUAUUGCUUUUGUCUGUUUUCUUUGUUUUGUUUUAAUUUGCAUUUCCCAGUAUAGGUAAAGAUAUAUAAAUACAUUUAGGUUGGGAUUCCCUGGAAACAAACUCUGAGCCAGAGAUUUGCAUACAAUAAAUAUGUUGGUGAAUGCUGUCAGGAGUUGCAAUUAUGGGGAAUGAACCUCAAUCAGUCAUUAGUUAUGGGCUAUCUCCAAGACAGGAGACUGUGCUCCUAUGGGAUUAUUCUUUUCCAAAGAGGGAAAUUUUAGGAGCGUUACUAAGCUGACUGACAGCUGCCAAUGGCCAAUAUUCCCAGCAGUGGAAAGACUGAGGUCCUUUUUCCUAAAGGUAGGAUUCUGAGCAACACACCAUAGUAUCCAUUACAACCUAUCCUAAUAUUUCCUUCUGUCUCCUAGAUACAUAUUUGCAGAUUAGGUUCUUCCAAGAUUCCAGUGAUCCUCUUUUCCUAAAGAAGAACAAAGUUAAUGGGAUGAACUAGAGCUUCUACUAUUGUUGGUUUUAGAAAAAGAACUGAUACUAUAAAAAUUGAGCCUCUGAUACUAACAGUUAUCUAAGUGAAUGACCUAGAUACCAAGCAUGUUCUUCUCAACAGCUCCACCUCCUUUUGAUUCACUGUCAAUUACUUCUGUCUUUUUGUUUGCUGGUCUAAUGAAACAAACUAGAGUGAUGGUAUGGGAACAAUACCAUAGUGUUUAAUAGGAUGCAUGCUUUCCCCUACUAGAAGUUUUCCCUUCCUUGGAAACCAGGACCUUUACUUUAUAGAUACCAAAACUUUGGGAAUGAGAAGUACAAAUUUGUCAAAGGAGUCAAUAAAACUAAUAAAAAGUGGAGUCUCGUUUUGGGGAUCCUUGAUGUGGCUCAGGAGAUUGCAACUCUUCCCCACAGGGUAUAACCAUUGACCUGAUGGGUCAGGUGCAAUUUCAAUAGGCUCUUCUUCCCAAUGACAUCUUGUAGGUGUUGUGGUCUAUGCAAGGACUAGUAGAUCACAUGGAUUAUUCUUUGUUUACUGGCAUUGUCGUAAAUAGUCUAGCUGUGUCUAAUGCAGUAUUAUGCAGAAUACAAUUCUAUUUCAUUGUAUUGAAAAUUCUAUAACCCCUAAGAUAUAAACAUUGAAUGAUGUCCAUCAGGCAAGAAAAGAAAACCCAUGCCUGAAUAUAUUUUAAUUCCAGUAUUACAGGAACAACUCUUGUAAAAUAUUAAAAGAUGUAGAAUUAGGUAGUGAAUGAAAUCACCUUUUAUGCAGACACAAUGAAAGCAUUAGGUCAAUUCUGUUAAGCUAUCUUGGCAUGGCCUUUAGAAUUCUGCCUCAUGGAUUCAAGGGACUCAAGAUUUUGCAUACAAAAUGGACAGGUCUUUUGCUAUGGGAUGCUCUUUGGAUAUGGUGUGAUAUUAAUGAAGGUGAGUCUCUUCAGGUCGAGAAAAUUCGCACUGGGGAAUUCAUUUGAAUUCACUUGUCAGAUGCCAACAUUCCCAAAGUGUAGAAGAAAGGGAACUUUACUCCUUAAAAGAGAUGGCUGGGUCUGAACCUCAUACCACAGAACCACAGAAACACUAAUAUUAUAUAUGAAUAUAUUUAUUUAUUACUCUUAUACAUGAAUUAGGACCGGUUCCUUUUCAGUGCAGACAGGUAUUCUUUUAGCUGAAGUUGGCAGAUACAUUGUUAAUAUGAACCAGAAAAGCAAAAUUACAUUAGAUCCCAUGAAACAGAAAAUCCCUGAACAGAGAUAAGGGGAAUUGAAAGGAGAAAAUGUGAAAGUACUGAAGACUUCAUCGACUAUCUGAUACUCAUUUGUUCCUACUUCUUCCAAAAGGGUCAUCUCUGUGUAUCCAUUGGUGGCAGUGGGAUGGGUAGAGAGCAUCUAUGAAUAGAUAGAGCAGUAUGUAACAGACAUGGAGGAUGAAUCAGUCUUAGGCAAAAAAGAAAGGAAAGGAAGUUUGUAGUCUCAGUGCAAUGGUUUGAGCAGUAUGUGGUGGUUAGUUAUGCUAUCUGAUUGAUGGUUAGUAGUAUCCCAGUUCUCUUACCCAGUCUGGUCCAUCUCUCAUCAGUUAUUAAUUAAUCUUCACUAACACAUUCACUAAUUAUAGCUUAAGUUCUUCCUCUCCCCAGAAAUUUCUGCAGACCUGAAAAAAAAUUUUCAAUUAUAUCUUUCUCUAACUCUUUUCCAAAUAUUCACCUAUGACCUCAUUGUAUGCUAUUUCAUGUAGUAUAUAUCAUCCUUGUUUUUUGUUAGGCAAAUGGGGGUAGGAGAUAUAUACACAUGUGUAACCUUUCAUCUUUACCUUUAACACACUAAACUUGUUUUCAUAAUAUAGCCUCUGUGACUGUUAGUUUUCUCAAACACAAUGUGACAAAAAAAUAGGUUUCAAAUAAUGAAAAGAUUAACAAUAAUAAUGUCUAUCCUGUAACUUGUACUUAAGAAUUUGAAACUGCUAAUUAAUACCAUUUUCAGCCUUAAUUUUUUAUGAUGUACCAGGAGGUAAAAUAUGCAAGGUUUUGUUUGAGAUUGUAUGUCACCCAACUGAGGAUAAAGGGAUCCACACAAUUAUGUGAAUAAAACACAUGAGUGUUUUAAAGUCAUUUAUUGAAAUUAUUUUGGCUGUUCAUAAAUACUAUUUUCACUCUUCACUUUAUAUUUCCUGUAUUUCAAAAAUAUGAAAAGUUUUCAAGGAGCCAAAUUUCACAGAAGUGGGUCCUUACCUGGCCUUAUUCUCAGCCCUGUCCCUGUGUAAAAAGACAUUUAACAUUUCAUGUUUCAAUUUCUUUAUCCACAAACUGGAGGCCAUCAUCCUGACCUGCAUCAUCAAAAAGCAAUUUCUAUUAGCAAAUUAAUGACUGUUGAGGCAGCUAUCGAUGCUGAGUAUCUUUCAUAUUAGAUUGGGCUUCAAUUGCCAAACAGAAAGUGAACCAUUCCAGGAAACCCCUGUGGGAACAAGAGUUUAAAUUCUUUUUUUUUUUUUCUGUUUCUGGGCAGCUAAGGAAAAGUACUGGUCAAAAGAGAAGAGGAAAGGCAAGGGGGAGGAGAGGGCAGGGAGGAGAGGAGAUAAAACAGUUCAAGGUUGUAUUUUCCUGACUUCAUUCCUGCAAUGUCGGCCUCACCCUUUAUGACAAGGUCUGAGGAAGAUGUAGUUUAUGAUGUGCUUCAAGUGUGAUAAAGAAGCUGAGAGGUGAGCCUGGGAAGGGUUAGGUGUCCUUGAGGACCGGAUGGGCUUGAGUACUCUGUGAGGAUGGAUGUUAUUAAAUUGAAUUAUUAUUAUUAGCACUUAGACAAUGUGGAGAGGAAAAGGAGGAGAAAGGAAAGAGAGCUAAAUUAAAACUGCAUAUGGAUCUCGUUGGGAGAGAAUUCUGAGAGCUGCAGCUGAUCCGUAAAUAUGGCCUGGACUCUUCAGGGAGGGGCGGGUGAUUCAGGAGGAAUUCUUCAAUUCUGUGAGGACCUGCUUUUUACCGGGAGUGUUUGUUGAAGAUACAGAGGCAAGUCCAGGCCUCUUCUGUGGUUUUACUGAGAAACAGAGAUUCAAUUAAUUAGCGUUUAUGAAGGCUGCUCUUCCGGUUACCUCUGCUCCAGCCAAAAUGGAAUCCUCUCCUCCAGGGUACCCUGUGUUUGCCCAUGUUAUUCCACCUUCCAUAGGACCUUCAUGCUUUUCUGAUCUGAGUCAUAUUCUCCCCACCUUUCGCAGGCCAGUUUUGAAAUUGCACUCGUCAUUUUUAUUGGCAGUAGUUAACAUUUAUGAAGCACUUACCAUGUGCCAGGCACCGUGCUAAGCACUCAGCAUUUAUUAUCUCAUCUUGUCUUUACAUGUGCACUACGAGGAGGAUUUCAUUGACCCUAUUUCACAUCCGAGGCUCUUAUCUCAGAAAGAUAUAUAACGUGACCCCAGGGCUUUACAACAAGUGUUAGAAACUGGACUCCAUCCUGUUUCUUUCUGACUCUAAUACUUGUGAACUUAAAUUUCUACUGGUCUCCCUGAAGCAUAAGCAGGUAACUUUAAUCCAUAUGGAUGUGUCAAUCUUCCCAGGUACCCCCUCUCAUUUCUAUUGAUUCACAUAAAAAUAUAAACUAAAGAAAUGGAAGGAAUUGUGAGGGACCACUAAAAACUCUCAUGUGCUGAGGAGGAAACAGGAUUCAGGACAUAAGUGGUGCUUUCAUUCCUUCUCCAGUGGUCAAAAGUGUGCGGGAUCUAGAAAGAAAUUGCUGAGUUCCACAAAGGAUCUAUCAAGGGAUAGCACUUACUGGGUCAUGGACUAUUAUCUUAAACUAUCCUGAAGACUAUUUCAUAGUUGUUUUUGAGGAACACAGAAAAAAAGUAAUUCUUUAGGAAGAGGGCUUUUAUCAAGGAAAGAGACUGUAUAGAUGAGGAAAUGAUGAGAAAUUACCCCACAGAGACAUAAGACCAUUUAUUUACAACAUCACUUAUAUUCCAUGGGACACUCAUGGAUGCUGACACUUCUGUCCUUACAUUAUUUGAUUUGUCAGCAGCAAUAACUAUGAAAAGAUUCUCUUCUCUUUGAAAUGCUUUCCUUUUCCUUCCAGUUCCAUAGUGAGAGUGCAUUCCCCACCUACUGAGGGAGCUCUCUUAUCCCAUUAGAUUCUCUCUCAGGUUUCAAUGCCUCUUCUAGAUAUGGAGAAGCUGGAUGCUCCAGGAUCUUUCUUUGGCCCUCUCUCAUCUCUAUUCAGUCUCUCCCUGGGAGACCUUAUCAAUUUCCUUAGCUUCAAUUUGCAAUUGCACAAUCAUCUGUAAAAAUUUUAUCUCCAUCCUGGGCUUCUUCCACACUCUACACUAAAAUGUCCAAUUGAUAUUUAGAAGUUCUUUUUGAAUGUCUAAUAGCUAUCUCAAACUUUACUGAAAUAAAAGCGAAAAAGCCAAUUCCUAAUUUAUUAUGAAAUAUUUCUUCUCCAACCCACCCUUCUUCAUCUGUAAAAAGUAUUUAAAUUUACCCCAUUUUAAAGUAAAAAAUCUAGAGGUCAUUCUUCUUUCCUCUCUUUUGCUCAACCCAUAGCUUCUCUCUUCUAACAAGCCACCUCCAUUGUUCUUCUAAACACUUCUCAAAUGGGUUCACUGCUUCAAGUCUCCAUGGUCACUCUAACUCAAGGUUUAAUAAUAUAUUAUCUGGACUGUCACCCAGGUAAGCAUUCACUUGACUUUAUGUUUCUGUAUGUGUUCAGGUUCAAGGUAGCCUGCAAAAGACCCAAGGUGGGCUUCUUCAAAGAUUAGGCCACAGGGAAGGAGAUUGAGCAAAUUAUUUUAUAUGCACAUAUGAAUAUGUUAAAAUAAUCAAUCUCACUAUUAUGUAUAAUUGUAAUGCACUAAUAAAAAAGGGAAAAAAACCCUAAAAUUACAUGUCAGAUCAUGACUCUCAAUUUCCCACACCAUUCACAAUGGGUGUCAUCCCUUUGAUGCAAAUACUCAACCCCCUGGCCCCAGCCUCUAGAAUUCUCUAGGUACUGACCCUCACCUCCAUCCAUCUUUCCCCAUCCCAGUAGGAGUCAUUUCCAUUGGUCCUUUUUAGGUUUCUUUGUAUCAUACCUGUUCGUUCCUGCUUAAGCUUUUCUCAUAUCUAUUUUCUCUGCCUGGAAUGUUCUCCCUACGACUUUCACAGGGAUUUCUGUGGUCAGGUAUUCUAUUGCAUCUUCAGUGUCACCUUCCAGGCAAUUUAAAGUAGCUUCCUGGUCACAGUGAUAUGACCCUAUUAACUAUCUGAAUAGGACAUAUCAUCACUUGCUUUUUUCCUCUUAAUUUUCUAACUUUUGCCUUUUCUGAUUUGAAUGCCAAUUUAUGAAAGUAAAGCUUAUUCAUUUUUAUAAUCUUAGGUUUUAGACAAUGUCUAGUACCUAACACUCAGUAGACUUUGUUCAAAGAGAAAAGUAGAAAUAAAUGAAAAAAAAAAUCAGAAUGAGUGAUCCCCUAUACUAAUGUUCUAAGUACUUAUUGCUCAUAAAAUGGGUUUGAAACUUUACAUAUGAAUAUAUAUGCCGUGGUGAAAGUGUCACUGAAACUAGUGGCCAGUGAGAUGAUUUAGAAGAUGACAAAUGAAAGUUAUACCUUAAAAAUACUGUUUAAACAGAGGUGAUGAGAAAAUAGCACUAUAAUCAAAGAAGCUUUUUUAUGCCUGAAAAGAAAUCCUCAAACUUAUCAGAGGUAGAGCAGUACAAAACAUUCUUAUGAUUAAGUAUAAAAGAAAAACAAAGUGAUAUCACUGUGAGAUGAUACUUUAUAGAAAAUCACUAGAGAAAAUAUAUGGUUAUAGUUUUUCUAAUAUAGAUCAUAAAAAUGGUACAUACGGAUGUUAAAGUAUAGAGAGUGGGAGGUAGACUGAGGUUUUUUUCAAAUAUUCUCAUACUUGUCUCAGAAAAUGAUAUCGCAGUCUCUGUAAUUAUUUGUGGAAGAGUCCCAAAAUAUUGUACUUAAAAAUCUUCUUUCCAUCGAAAUUCAGAUGAAAUCAAUCACUUAUUAUUAUCUGUAACCUGAUUAGAAUAAAACUGCCUAAAUGAUCCAAUCUCAGCUUGGUGUG
RNAcentral lists this long non-coding RNA (8392 nucleotides) under Marmota monax (woodchuck). Lineage: Eukaryota; Metazoa; Chordata; Mammalia; Rodentia; Sciuridae. The record is from RNAcentral.